Molecule: ribosomal RNA, 422 nt
Filed under: Lutjanus russellii (Russell's snapper)
Lineage: Eukaryota; Metazoa; Chordata; Actinopteri; Lutjaniformes; Lutjanidae
Description: partial 16S ribosomal RNA
Rfam family: Bacterial large subunit ribosomal RNA
Source: RNAcentral
UGAAUGGCAUAACGAGGGCUUAGCUGUCUCCUAUUUCCAGUCAAUGAAAUUGAUCUCCCCGUGCAGAAGCGGGGAUACGCACAUAAGACGAGAAGACCCUAUGGAGCUUUAGACACCAAAGCAGACCAUGUUAAGCAUCCCAAAACAAAGAACCAAACCAAAUGAUCCCUGCUCUAAUGUCUUUGGUUGGGGCGACCGCGGGGAAAUACAAAACCCCCACGUGGAACGAGAACACCUCCUCUCACAACCAAGAGCUCCCGCUCUAGUAAACAGAAAUUCUGACCAAUCAGAUCCGGCACAAGCCGAUCAACGGACCGAGUUACCCUAGGGAUAACAGCGCAAUCCCCUUUUAGAGGCCAUAUCGACAAGGGGGUUUACGACCUCGAUGUUGGAUCAGGACAUCCUAAUGGUCCAGCCGCUAA